AUGGGGCUCAAGCAAGUGCCCCGUUUAGAAAAUCUGGGGUUUAAGUACCCUUUAGAGGUUUCCUAUUUGGUUACACCCUAUGUAAAUAAAGACUUGGCCUGCCACCAAUCAGAGGCUGAAGUGAAUGCUCCUUUGUCUCCAGACCCUAUUCUCUGGCCUCAGUGGGAGGCAGAGCUUGCAGUGAGCCGAGACGGUGCUACUGCACUCCAGCUUGGGCGACAGAGCGAGACUCCGUCUCAAAAAAAAAAAAAAGACCUGUCUCUCUACAAAAAAUGAAAAAACUAGCAGGGCAUAGUGGUACAACCU
RNAcentral lists this long non-coding RNA (306 nucleotides) under Pan troglodytes (chimpanzee). RNAcentral describes it as "lncRNA (ENSPTRG00000053488.1)". The record is from RNAcentral. Lineage: Eukaryota; Metazoa; Chordata; Mammalia; Primates; Hominidae.